RNAcentral lists this ribosomal RNA (1105 nucleotides) under Phragmocephala glanduliformis. RNAcentral describes it as "bacterial SSU rRNA". It matches the Rfam family "Eukaryotic small subunit ribosomal RNA", at positions 100 to 1165 of the family's 1831-position model. The record is from RNAcentral. Lineage: Eukaryota; Fungi; Ascomycota; Dothideomycetes; Pleosporales; Melanommataceae.
AUUAAAUCAGUUAUAAUUUACUUGAUAGUGCCCAAUUACUUGGAUAACCGUGGUAAUUCUAGAGCUAAUACAUGCCUAAAAUCCCGACUUCGGAAGGGAUGUAUUUAUUAGAUUAAAAACCAAUGCCCUUUGGGCUUCUUGGUGAAUCAUAAUAACUUAACGAAUCGCAUGGCCUUGAGCCGGCGAUGGUUCAUUCAAAUUUCUGCCCUAUCAACUUUCGAUUGGUGAGUAGUGUUCACCAAUGGUGUCGACGGGUAACGAAGAAUWAGGGUUCGAUCUCGGAGAGGAAGCCUGAGAAACGGCUUACACAUCCAAGGAAGGCAGCAGGCGCGCAAAUUACCCAAUCUCAAUACGAGGAGGUAGUGACAAUAAAUACUGAUGCAGGGCUCUUUUGGGUUUUGCAAUUGGAAUGAGUACAAUCUAAWUCCCUUAACGAGGAACAAUUGGAGGGCAAGUCUGGUGCCAGCAGCCGCGGUAAUUCCAGCUCCAAUAGCGUAUAUUAAAGUUGUUGCAGUUAAAACGCUCGUAGUUUGAUUUUGGGCCUGGCUGACUGGUCCGCCUCACCGCGUGUACUGGAUUGGCCGGGCCUUUCUUUCUGGGGAACUAUAUGGCCUUCAUUGGCUGUAUAGGGAACCAGGACUUUUACUUUGAAAAAAUUAGAGUGUUCAAAGCAGGCCUUUGCUCGAAUACAUUAGCAUGGAAUAAUGAAAUAGGACGGCUCUCCUAUUUUGUUGGUUUUUAAGAGAGCCGUAAUGAUCAAUAGGGACAGUCGGGGGCACUUGUAUUCAGCUGUCAGAGGUGAAAUUCUUGGAUUUGCUGAAGACAAACUACUGCGAAAGCAUUUGCCAAGGAUGUUUUCAUUAAUCAGUGAACGAAAGUCAGGGGAUCGAAGACGAUCAGAUACCGUCGUAGGUGAGUAAAUAACAUACGCUUAGUGACUCUUUUUAUGUGAUUUAAUGCUAAUUUUUUACAGUCUUGACCAUAAACUAUGCCGACUAGGGAUCGGUGGAUGUUUCUUAUUUUGACUCCAUCGGCACCUUACGAGAAAUCAAAGUUUUUGGGUUCUGGGGGGAGUAUGGUCGCAAGGGUAAUUAUAUCUUUAUUU